CAGACAGUACCGAUGAAGGACGUUUGAGGCUGCGAUAUGCCUCGGGGAGCCGCCAGCAGGGCUUUGAUCCGAGGAUUUCCGAAUGGGGGAACCCGCCGGCCGUCAUGGGCCGGCACCGCGUUCGCGCGGGGGGUACGCAGGGAAGUGAAACAUCUCAGUACCUGCAGGAAAGGAUGUUCCGUGAGUAGUGGCGAGCGAAAGCGGAUCAGGCCAAACCGCGCGCGUGUGACAGGCGCCAGCCGUUGCGCGCGUGGUGUUGAGGGAGCGUGUGUCCGGGUUCUGGCGGGCCCCGGCCGGAGUGAUAAAACGGCGUGUGAGGCGAACCGGAUUGAAUGCCGGGCCGCAGAGGGUGAUGGCCCCGUAGCCGAACGCGCGUCGUCUCCGGAUCGUGUCUCCCAAGUAGCGCGGGACUCGUGGAAUCCCGUGUGAAUCCGCCCCGACCGUGGGGUAAGCCUAGAUAUACCUGUCUG
Molecule: ribosomal RNA, 470 nt
Filed under: uncultured bacterium
Lineage: Bacteria
Description: bacterial LSU rRNA
Rfam family: Bacterial large subunit ribosomal RNA
Source: RNAcentral